This is a long non-coding RNA of Musa acuminata AAA Group (dessert banana), 6412 nucleotides long. RefSeq lists it as uncharacterized. Lineage: Eukaryota; Viridiplantae; Streptophyta; Magnoliopsida; Zingiberales; Musaceae. The transcript has 3 exons. The record is from RefSeq and is a predicted model, not a curated record.
CGCAACCCCAAUGCCGAAGCCCUACGGUGUAUCCCGUGAUCUCGCACUCACGAGAGCGACUCCUCUUCGAUCUAAAGCCCAAAGGUGGCUUCUUUCCCCGCGAAGUCAGGGGAGAAACAAUCGAGAGCCUGUGAUAGAGAGGCUAAAGGUUUAACCUUCCCCUUCAGUUUUGCGUCCAGAAGCUUGUUCUGUUAGUGCUUCUCAAGAACAUAAUGGGAAGGGAGCUUGUUCCGAUCCUUGAAAGCCACUGAAUGGCUAAGAUUUCUUUCACUAAAAUGUCUUAUUAAAUAAAAUGGCUAAGAUUUCUUUCACUAAAAUAGUUCACUAAAAUGUUCCAUUUGAACAUUCCCAAAUGUAGCUUUCACAACAUCACGGUCAUAUUUAAUGUACCAACUAUUCCAUAAGUUUCUCAAUCUCAGGAUAACUACCUAAGUAGGGAUUAAAAUAUAGGUCAUCUUUCGACAAUGUACUAUAAAUGUUGGUGCUUGAAAUUUAUAUCAGGUACAGGACAUGUGUGUCUGUCGGAGAAUGUCUGUGAACUAUUGAUGCAUGCCUCUGAACUCUGAAAUUGCAACUUUUGAUUUGUUUUUCUUCUUAGAUGUUUCCUUUACGUCACAAUCAGUACAUGUUGGUCCUGUUAAUGCUGCUACCACCAAUAAUUUUGAAGUUUGGUGAUAUAAAGAUUGACUCACUAGUUUUGAUUUGUCGUUGUAAUCAUGUGGUCUGCAGUCGAAUGAUAGAGCUAAUGUGAUCACUCUUAGAUGUUACGACUGUUCAAUGCUAAUGUGAACUAUUGAUGCAUGCCUCUGAACUCUGAAAUUGCAACUUUUGAUUUGUUUUUCUUCUUAGAUGUUUCCUUUACGUCACAAUCAGUACAUGUUGGUCCUGUUAAUGCUGCUACCACCAAUAAUUUUGAAGUUUGGUGAUAUAAAGAUUGACUCACUAGUUUUGAUUUGUCGUUGUAAUCAUGUGGUCUGCAGUAGAAUGAUAGAGCUAAUGUGAUCACUCUUAGAUGUUACGACUGUUCAAUGCUAAUGUGAACUAUUGAUGCAUGCCUCUGAACUCUGAAAUUGCAACUUUUGAUUUGUUUUUCUUCUUAGAUGUUUCCUUUACGUCACAAUCAGUACAUGUUGGUCCUGUUAAUGCUGCUACCACCAAUAAUUUUGAAGUUUGGUGAUAUAAAGAUUGACUCACUAGUUUUGAUUUGUCGUUGUAAUCAUGUGGUCUGCAGUCGAAUGAUAGAGCUAAUGUGAUCACUCUUAGAUGUUACGACUGUUCAAUGCUAGUCGCUUGGCUUGUUCACUGCUACAAAUGGUUGCCUGUCCAUGUUAAGGGUGUGAUGGAUAUAUUUUGAAAAGAAUUCUAAAAAUGUAUGAGAAGCAACAAAAUUUAAAGCAUCAUUUCCUUUGGUGCGUUCAAUUUUUUGCAUGGUGAAUAUAUGCGGAACACCAGUCACAUUAGUUCUCUAUUUUAUAAUGGUUGAUCAAUUGUUGGUUCCAUCUGGUAACUUUCCUGAUGCUUAUAUCUGAUCUUUUCUCUAUUUUGUAGAUCCUUCCAUGAAGCCAUUCUUCAUUUGUCAUAUUUGUAUAUAUUAUUUUUCUCCUUUUUUGUCUAUAAAGUUCUAUUCUCAUAAUUAACGAGCUCAUUUUUUUAGGCAACAACACUUGAUUUCUCAAUAUCUUAAGAUAAUUCAUCCAUAUCAUAAGAUGCUUGAAAUGUCGCAAACCCAAUCCAGUUGGCUAUUUGUUUAAUCUACGUGUCCUAGGAGUUUUGAAGUGGUGCCAAAUUUUUAUCCAAUCUGCUUUUUUUUUUGCAGUUCUGUUACUUGGUCAUCAUGUUCUAAAUAAUUUUUCCUGGACAAGUUUAUAGUUUCUUAAGUACUACUUUAGGUUCAUUGUUCCAUCAGAAUAAAUGAAAUAUAGUUCUGUAGCCACGUAGGGUCUAAGCUGCAGGCUGCCAACAUGUAAGCAUGAGAUUUAAAAAAUUGGCUUCAAUGCGAUAUUUGUCUGAAUUUGUUCAAUGUGUCCUGGUGUGAAAAAGUUGUCCCACUUCGUUCCAACUAUGUAGGCUGCAAGAGAAUUCCAGAAUCUGUAAGCUGAAGCUUAGAGGCCAUAUCUCUCACUUGACAUGUAAAUUCUCUUUUUGCUUUAAAGUUUGAACUAUGAAAUCUAGACUGAUUAAGGAGAAUUUUCCAAGUAGUUGACUUAUGUCUCUGUUAUGUUAUUCCAUCUUUUAUCUCAGAAAGCACAAAUGGUUCCAAGAUCUAUUAAAAUAGUGGCUCAAGCUCUGCCUGGAUGUUAGUACAUUCAAUUCCUUCAAGUCUGUCCUCAUCACUGAGGAACAUUGCAACUUGCUCAUCCACAAAACAUAACAAACAAAGUGGGAAAAUAAUUUUUUCUAUAAAAACUUUAUUGAUACAAUUUCCUUCUACAUCCUUAGGUGUCCUAGAUAUAUACUAUUUUCUGUAUAGGACUCUAAGCAUGGAGGGCCUAGCUUGCAAUGCCUUCCUACCAUUGUGAUUGUCAAGUGAGAGACACUACAGUGUGCAGUUUUAUGAAAGAGAAGCCACGAAUUUUGGCCAUCUAUAAGCUAUUAUUUCAUUCAAUUUCAUCUUGUAAAUAGCAAAGCAUUGAGAGCAAAUAGAAUUUGUUCUAGUUUUGUAAACUGAGGAAAUAUGUGUAUAACAAAAAACAUAACUAGAAGAUGAAGGUAAACACAAGUUCUGACUAAGAUUGCAUUUAUCUUGGAGUUAAAUGAUUGAGGUUCAUCAUCUAUACUAUCAACUUUUGAUCCAAUGUAUACAACAUCAUAUUUUUUUAGUGUCAUUUUUAUGUUAGACAUUAUUUUAUAUAAGAAAAAUGGUCUGUUCUUGUGAAAUUCUUCUCUUAUAUUGUAUAGUAAAGAAAUUAUAUCUGAUAAUGCUGUGAUGUGUCCUCUUUGAUUUAGUUUUGAGAAAGGGUUCUGACUUUUAUAGUUCUAGUUUCUCUAGUAACCUGCUAAUUUUGUAUUUAAAGCCCAUUUUGUUUUUGUUUUUUUCUGGUUUCCUUACUUUGUGCUGAUGUCAUUUAUUAGCUCGUAACAACUCCACAUGCUUUUAAUCAUACUGCAGAAGGAAUUUUCUUCUUAGCUUGCAACAUAUUCUACAAAAAUGUAAGGAGAACUGACAAAGUAUCAGGAACACAAGCUGACUAUUUUAGAUGUACUACUAAAUGCAGGAUACUGACAAGGUUAUAUAAAAGUGUUUCUUUUUCUCAGAUUGUAGUAAGAACUAGGUUUCACUGGUAGUAUUAAGUAAUGAAUGGUGGAAAAGUAAUGAGUGAAAGGCUUAUUGUUUCUCCCUAUGGCCUUUAUUAUCCCGACAGUUGUUUUUAUCAAUUAAUUUUGCAGGUAAGAUAAGGAAGAAAACAGCUUCAAUUAUGUAAAAUAGAAUACAUAGUGACAAAGUAACACAAUUAGAAGUAAGAAUUUGUUGGUUUUGUUUUUUUUUUAUAUGUCAGAUGUGCAUCCCAUUCUACCCUUAUGCCUAGGCUAUAUUUAUAAAUUGCAGAACUACGAUGUUUCUCAAUUUUUAUCAUGGAGUAAGGAGCAUUAGUAAAUACAGAAGUGUAGCUGAUUGUAAGAGAUGCAAUAUACUGAUCUGCAAUAUUUACGCGCAAACUAAAAUUUUGAUGUAUAAAAAACCUCUCUAUGUUGUUGGUGAUGUCUUUUUAGGUUCAUAUAUCAAUCACAUUUAGUUGCUGUCUAAAGGACAGUGGACUAUAUUGAUCUUUCUGACAAUCAUCAUUCUCAACUAGUUUAUGUGCACUAGCCAUUGGAAUAUAUUCACUCGUGAGUCGUGGCUAUGGAUCUUGGCAUCAAUUGAUUGUUAUGCUGUUAUUCUCAUUCAUGGAGAUCAUCCGCGUAUGCUCACUAUAUGAAUGUGGUAUUUUGCCAUCAAAAAGUCUCGGUAGUCUGGUUGUUUGUUCUCUUUUUUCUGCCAUGUCUCAUAUGCUUUGCAUUUGGUAAAUGCAUUUAUUCUAAGAUUUGAUAUAAUUCACCAUGUACUUAUUGUUGUGUUUGAUCUCUGUGGCUUCUUUCUCCACAAUUUUGCAGUAGUACUUUUCAUCGAGUACAUUUUUCAACUUGUAAUUUGGGUCCAUCCUUGUAGAUAAGGAUUUAGAUUGAUAAAGAAGUGCUAUUCUUCAUCAAAUUUGUUAAACAUAAAUGAUUUCAGAAUGUACUAUUUGAGUUCACAUAUAAUAAUCAUGUUGACUAGUGCGCAUGGGUUCACGUACUCAAGUUCUAGUGAUCAAACAUGUGGAGGUAAACACUUUACAUCAUCAAAUUUUUAAACAAUUUGGUAGAUGAAGGCAAGUUUUUUUAACCCUAAAGUAAACUUCAAAUUAUUGACCUGUGUUCGGCAAGUUCCUGAGAGUAUGCUGUAAUAAUUGGAAAAACCUUGCCUUGGGUAAUUUCAUAUAAAUUUGCUUGAUGCAUUGUGCUGCCUUGUCCUUCCAGUUAAAAAUGGUGUUUUAAAAUGAUCUGAAUUCUAUCUGUAGUUUGUUUUUCCUUUUUUGAUUCGGAUUCUCUUGUCACCAUUUAUUCAUGAGAACUGUCUUUCUUUUCCAAAAGACAAAUUAACUGUUAAGAGAAUACAUGAAUUUGGUUUGUUCCUCGUACAGUUAACUUUUUGUUUUUGCUAUGUUUUUCCUGGCACUGUUUCUUGAUGUUUGUUUACUUGAUUCAUAGAAUAUACAAUAAUCAUGUGUUAUCAGAGAUGCCAAAGUUUGUCUCUUGUUCCCUAUGCCAUUAUAGAAGAUUUGUUUUUUCCCUUUGAGAAGAUUCUGCAUAAGAACAUGUUAUUUGUCUGCUCUUACUGUCUCAGCUAGUUCAUAGGCAGUCUGCUUUUAGUCUACGGUACCUUGAUUGCUGUAUCCUCAUUUAUGGUUUUUGUAUACAAUCAAUGAAAUUGAGUUGCCAUUGAAAUGGUUGGCGGUUAUCAUCUAAUUGAUAGGCUUCAUGGUUAUCAAUCUUGAUAUGUAGAUAGUCCGUGGCACUUCCAGCAUAUUACUCUUUCCUGUGAAAAGCACAUUCAAAAUUUACUUCACUGAAGUUUUGGUGGUGCAACAACCGGAAGGAGAUUUUUGCUAUCUUAACCUGCUUUAUAGGAUCAAUGCUUCUUACUAACUAGUUCUCUUUGUCAUUUUCUGUCGCUCUGAAAGUGCAGUACUGGUUUGGAAAUCGGCGAGCAAUCUAAUUAUCUUGUGCUUCUACUUCCUGAAAGAUUCUGCUAAAAAACCACUGUCAUGUUUAUAUAUUGUCUCUCUAUUCUUCCCUUCCUUUUAACUAGUAUUUGCAAUAGUAUCAUGGCUAAGCUCAAUAUUUCUACCACACCAGGCUGCAUCUUACUGUUGUGUUUGCAUUAAAUUCCUAUUACCUGAUCUGAAUUUCAUGUUGUCCUCUAUGAUGAAAGUGUUUAGGUAUCUAAAUAGUCACUGAUUUGGAGGUUUUAGUCCUCUUUUCAUGUGAUUUGUUGUAUGGGUCACAUGUGUAUCUACUGCCUUCUCUUGUACAAUGUGUGUAUAUUUAUUGAUAGAACUAUCAGUUAUGUAUAAAUCUGCAUUAUUCUUUUUCCUUGGCUGUUGAUGAUCCAGGUCGACAUCGGGUUUCUUCUAAUCAAGUGAUCAGGAUACAUAACAGCUGGCCCCUAACCAAGUGUGCAGGUUAAGAAAGUUCAACUUGUUGAUGCAACUCAGCUCUGUUGAAAGCAAAAGAAAGGAAGAAUACCAGGAAUGUAAGAAUGAGCCUCAGGACCAAAAAGCCUUUGUGGAACAAGAAAGACACACACAUCAAAAAGGAAUAAAAAGGCAGGGAAAGUAAAAAAGGCCUUGACUUUCCCACUCUGCUACCAAGGUAUCAGCAUCAGGAGGAGAGCCCAUUAAAGAGAUUCACAUCCAUUGGAAAGAUGAUGCAGAUGGUGGCUCCCUACCAAAAUAAACAAUAGGUAUGCACCAGUGCCACAAGAUGCUUCAUCUAAUGCCCACACUUUACCUGAAACUGGCACAGCAUAGGCAUGUGUCUCAUACUUUCCCUAGACUUGAAAGACCUCAGAUUCUAGGUAAUGCCUAGAAGGUUAUGGCCAGUAAUAGAUUAUGUGAGAUUGGCACGCACAUCCUUUUUCUGGUUGUUCUGCUGGUUCAUGAUGAUCCAAGUGGCAGUGCUGCCAUGGUUGAGAGUUAUAGCCAAACCAUUCCCUGUUCCUUACCUUUAAAUGCUUCCAAAAUGAGGUAAAAUUAGUCGAGUAGCUAUCAGAUGAACGAAAAAGAGGUGGACAGAAAGAAAUAUUGGCUUCAGAAGUCUAUUAAUCUAUGUUGGCUGCUGGAAAAGAGUUGUUAUAAUGCAUCUCCAAGAGCUACCGACAGCAAGCCGAGAC